GAGGGAAACAAUAAGCACGCUAGCCAUUAUUCUUAAUAAUAUUGGUUAUAUUGAUAGAAUCUGGGCAAAGGUGACCCAAUCGACGUACUCACUCGU
RNAcentral lists this non-coding RNA (96 nucleotides) under Thalassionema nitzschioides. Lineage: Eukaryota; Bacillariophyta; Fragilariophyceae; Thalassionematales; Thalassionemataceae. The record is from RNAcentral.